UACAGAGGGUGCAAGCGUUGUUCGGAAUUAUUGGGCGUAAAGCGCGUGUAGGCGGUGGUUCAAGUCGGGUGUGAAAGCCCUCAGCUUAACUGAGGAAGUGCGCCCGAAACUGAAUCGCUAGAGUGUCGGAGGGGAAGGCGGAAUUCCCGGUGUAGAGGUGAAAUUCGUAGAUAUCGGGAGGAACACCAGUGGCGAAGGCGGCCUUCUGGACGAACACUGACGCUGAGACGCGAAAGCGUGGGGAGCGAUCCGG
RNAcentral lists this ribosomal RNA (253 nucleotides) under uncultured bacterium. RNAcentral describes it as "partial 16S ribosomal RNA". It matches the Rfam family "Bacterial small subunit ribosomal RNA", at positions 524 to 776 of the family's 1533-position model. The record is from RNAcentral.